CAGCGCUUUGAUAGCUGUGAGUCAAGGGCGGUAGCGUU
This 38-nucleotide non-coding RNA is filed under the name Pectobacterium atrosepticum SCRI1043. RNAcentral describes it as "JUMPstart RNA". It matches the Rfam family "JUMPstart RNA". The record is from RNAcentral. Lineage: Bacteria; Pseudomonadati; Pseudomonadota; Gammaproteobacteria; Enterobacterales; Pectobacteriaceae.